UUGUACAUGGUAGGCUUUCAUUCAU
RNAcentral lists this non-coding RNA (25 nucleotides) under Mus musculus (house mouse). The record is from RNAcentral. Lineage: Eukaryota; Metazoa; Chordata; Mammalia; Rodentia; Muridae. RNAcentral also lists the same sequence under 1 other name.